UCUUAGCCCCGAUGGGAACGACAUCCUUUUUUGUUUUGGUGAAGGAAAUCAGGUUCGGAAAAAACAAAAAAGAUAUAGUGAACAGCGGGAAAUAGC
Molecule: small RNA, 96 nt
Filed under: Chryseobacterium balustinum
Lineage: Bacteria; Pseudomonadati; Bacteroidota; Flavobacteriia; Flavobacteriales; Weeksellaceae
Description: Flavo-1 RNA
Rfam family: Flavo-1 RNA
Source: RNAcentral